UGGCUCAGAACGAACGCUGGCGGCAUGCCUAACACAUGCAAGUCGAACGAGACCUUCGGGUCUAGUGGCGCACGGGUGCGUAACGCGUGGGGAUCUGCCCUUUGCUUCGGAAUAACAGUUAGAAAUGACUGCUAAUACCGGAUGAUGUCGUAAGACCAAAGAUUUAUCGGCAAAGGAUGAACCCGCGUAGGAUUAGCUAGUUGGUGGGUAAAGGCCUACCAAGGCGACGAUCCUUAGCUGGUCUGAGAGGAUGAUCAGCCACACUGGGACUGAGACACGGCCCAGACUCCUACGGGAGGCAGCAGUGGGGAAUAUUGGACAAUGGGCGAAAGCCUGAUCCAGCAAUGCCGCGUGAGUGAUGAAGGCCUUCGGGUUGUAAAGCUCUUUUACCAGGGAUGAUAAUGACAGUACCUGGAGAAUAAGCUCCGGCUAACUCCGUG
This 440-nucleotide ribosomal RNA is filed under the name uncultured bacterium. RNAcentral describes it as "bacterial SSU rRNA". It matches the Rfam family "Bacterial small subunit ribosomal RNA", at positions 20 to 507 of the family's 1533-position model. The record is from RNAcentral.